CAGCCGCCACGGUAAUACGGAGGGAGCUAGCGUUGUUCGGAAUUACUGGGCGUAAAGCGCGCGUAGGCGGUUACUCAAGUCAGAGGUGAAAGCCCGGGGCUCAACCCCGGAACUGCCUUUGAAACUAGGUGACUAGAAUCUUGGAGAGGUCAGUGGAAUUCCGAGUGUAGAGGUGAAAUUCGUAGAUAUUCGGAAGAACACCAGUGGCGAAGGCGACUGACUGGACAAGUAUUGACGCUGAGGUGCGAAAGCGUGGGGAGCAAACAGGAUUAGAUACCCCAGUAGUCCCUGUCUCUUAUAC
This 301-nucleotide ribosomal RNA is filed under the name uncultured bacterium. Its description in RNAcentral is "partial 16S ribosomal RNA". It matches the Rfam family "Bacterial small subunit ribosomal RNA", at positions 509 to 807 of the family's 1533-position model. The record is from RNAcentral.